This 264-nucleotide long non-coding RNA is filed under the name Zostera marina. Its description in RNAcentral is "long non-coding RNA (ZMAR_LNC003148)". Lineage: Eukaryota; Viridiplantae; Streptophyta; Magnoliopsida; Alismatales; Zosteraceae. The record is from RNAcentral.
AUUGCAUCCUCCAUAAGAGGUAGUUUGUUGGCGAUAGUUUGAUAUGGAGGAAACUCUGGAUGGAUCCAAAAGAUGGGGAUCCAACCAACAUUGGUUGAGGGAGCAUUGCUAGAUUGGAUCCAUUUGGAUCAGCAAUUGCUGGAAUUAUCAAUGAAGGAUGAUCGAUCGGUAUUGUGGAAUGCAGCGGAUUUGCGUUUGAUGGAGCCACAGGAUCGACAUCGGCGGAUGAUACCAUGUUGGAUUGAUUGUCUAUGGAGAAUGAGG